GAUGAAGAACGCAGCGAAAUGCGAUAAGUAAUGUGAAUUGCAGAAUUCAGUGAAUCAUCGAAUCUUUGAACGCAUCUUGCGCUCCUUGGUAUUCCUUGGAGCAUGCCUGUUUGAGUAUCAUGAGCAAAUCUCAAAGUCAAUUCCUUUUGUUGAUUCAAUUGGUUUUGCUUUGGACUUGGAGGCCUUGCAGAUUUCACAGUCUGCUCCUCUCAAAUGCAUUAGCUGGAUCUCAGUAAUUAUGCUUGGUUCCACUCGGCGUGAUAAGUAUCACUCGCUGAGGACACUGUUAAAAAGGUGGCCAGGAAAAUACUGAUUGAACCGCUUCUAACGGUCUAUUAAGUUAGACAAUUACCCUUAAGUUUGAUCUCAAAUCAGGUAGGACUACCCGCUGAACUUAAGCAUAUCAAUAAGCGGAGGA
Molecule: unclassified non-coding RNA, 418 nt
Filed under: soil metagenome
Description: partial contains 5.8S ribosomal RNA, internal transcribed spacer 2, and large subunit ribosomal RNA
Rfam family: 5.8S ribosomal RNA (bases 1-120)
Source: RNAcentral